GACGAACGCUGGCGGCGUGCUUAACACAUGCAAGUCGAACGGAAAGGCCCUGCUUUUGUGGGGUGCUCGAGUGGCGAACGGGUGAGUAACACGUGAGUAACCUGCCCUUGACUUUGGGAUAACUUCAGGAAACUGGGGCUAAUACCGGAUAGGAGCUCCUGCUGCAUGGUGGGGGUUGGAAAGUUUCGGCGGUUGGGGAUGGACUCGCGGCUUAUCAGCUUGUUCGUGGGGUAGUGGCUUACCAAGGCUUUGACGGGUAGCCGGCCUGAGAGGGUGACCGGCCACAUUGGGACUGAGAUACGGCCCAGACUCCUACGGGAGGCAGCAGUGGGGAAUAUUGCACAAUGGGCGGAAGCCUGAUGCAGCAACGCCGCGUGCGGGAUGACGGCCUUCGGGUUGUAAACCGCUUUCGCCUGUGACGAAGCGUGAGUGACGGUAAUGGGUAAAGAAGCACCGGCUAGCUACGUG
This 468-nucleotide ribosomal RNA is filed under the name uncultured bacterium. Its description in RNAcentral is "partial 16S ribosomal RNA". It matches the Rfam family "Bacterial small subunit ribosomal RNA", at positions 28 to 507 of the family's 1533-position model. The record is from RNAcentral.